UAUUAUGAUUCUUAUUAAUGAAUUGCUAAAUUUUUUUUUAUAUUAAAUAAAAAGGAAUUGUAUGGAAGGUGGUUUGUGUCUAAAACACGCUUAGCCAACCUCAACUUCCCCUACUGUGCCCUAGCAGAAAGACACCCAGGACUUGGCUACACAGGCCUAAUUACUAUUACUUCCACAUUUGACUAAAUCAAUACCAUUAAGUGGAUCUCCUUGACAAAGCUAAAAGGGGCUCACACAUGCAUUUAUAGUCUGCCAAACUUUCAUUUGACUUUUUCUCAGGUCAGGUUGUAAACAACUGAGUGAGAGAUAUAUGUAUUGGAAUUUUGUGCUGCGAGAGGCAAAUUCCUCAUCUUCUUCUGUUGAGUUAUGGAAUCAAACACGUGUGGAGUUGGCUUUCUUUACCCUCUUCUCCAUCCUCUGCUCUCUUGACACAUCUACUAAUAUUACCUGGUUUCAGCACAAUGAGGACCUUGAACUUAGUUUCUUGUUUGGUAGCUUUCCCUACCAUAAUCUUGCUUUGUCUAACUGGUUCUGAAAAUGAUCGGUCAUCACUUGUUGGCAUUUCAAAUGACAAGAUGAUUAAUAUACAAUUGAAUUCAGGAUUUGAUAAAGAAUCUUGCUUGAGCAGGUACCAGUCUACCCUAUACUGCAAACCUUCCCCUUACAAGCCUUCUCAAUACCUCCUUUCCAAACUAGGCAAUUAUGAAAGUCUUCAUAAACGCUGUGGACCUUACACAGAUUCCUAUAAUAGAACACUGAAAGUGCUUGAUUCUGGCAAUAUUUCUAAUCCUACAGAGUGCAAUUACAUUGUCUGGACACCCCUUGAAGGCAUGGGGAACAGGAUUUUAAACAUGGCUUCAGCAUUUCUUUAUGCUCUCCUUACUAAUAGAGUUUUUCUUGUUGAACAUGAGGCUGACAUGGCUGAUCUCUUUUGCGAGCCAUUUCCAAA
RNAcentral lists this unclassified non-coding RNA (949 nucleotides) under Hevea brasiliensis (rubber tree). Lineage: Eukaryota; Viridiplantae; Streptophyta; Magnoliopsida; Malpighiales; Euphorbiaceae. The record is from RNAcentral.